RNAcentral lists this long non-coding RNA (766 nucleotides) under Cucumis sativus (cucumber). RNAcentral describes it as "long non-coding RNA (CSAT_LNC001153)". Lineage: Eukaryota; Viridiplantae; Streptophyta; Magnoliopsida; Cucurbitales; Cucurbitaceae. The record is from RNAcentral.
GGGAAUAACAGCUACUAACAGAUAAAACAACUACUAACAAAGAAUGGUUAAAACAGAAAUAACAACCAAUAGUAAGAUAGUUAAUGACUGUAUGAUUGCACUGUUUAUAAUUGCAUCAUUCCAUCCUCCCGAGAUUGUACUCGACCACGAGUACAUUAGUCAGCAAGCUGGAAGUCGUCUGGGGCAUGAUAGGGCUUCAAGUCUGCGAUAUUGAACACCUCUCUUUGGCGGCAUAAUUCCUAUUAUCCACCAAUAACUAUCUUUUAAAAAUCUAAACAAAAGAGUACUUCAUACCGUCCAGUUUAACUUAGGCAAAAGUCAUGCAAAUAAACCAUACAUAUAAGCAUAAAACAUACCUGACGAGAGACGAAGGGUCGCGUUAGCCAUAGGGACACAAAACACAGACUUACAUCGUAAGUCAGUCUACAGAACCUAAAACUUAGGCUCUUAUACCAACUGUAACGAUCCAACUUUUCUACCUAAGUCGAGGUCAUUAAUUUUUGACAAAAGACCUUGGUUGAUACAAAAUGAAAUGUAAGCCAAUUGAAAAACACACAAUCGAGGAAAAACAACUUUAAGUUUGACCUGAUUUCAAAUAUUCAAAAACUUAAAAAGUACUACUUACAAAUAAAAGUUUGUAAGCUAAGUUUCAAUACGACGUCUUAAACCUCAAAAAAACAAUAAGCGGAAGCAAAAUAACACAUUUCCUAUGGCAAUCACGUUUCCUUCCUUCCCCUCGCCGGUUUGCCGCCUUUGUUACUUUUGC